Molecule: ribosomal RNA, 442 nt
Filed under: uncultured fungus
Lineage: Eukaryota; Fungi
Description: eukaryotic LSU rRNA
Rfam family: 5.8S ribosomal RNA (bases 122-275)
Source: RNAcentral
GCUGACCUCGGAUCAGCUCUGUUGCCUCCGGGGCGACCCUGCCUUCGGGCGGGGGCUCCGGGUGGACACUUCAAACUCAAGCGUAACUUUGCAGUCGGAGUAAACUUAAUUAAUAAAUUAAAACUUUUAACAACGGAUCUCUUGGUUCUGGCAUCGAUGAAGAACGCAGCGAAAUGCGAUAAGUAAUGUGAAUUGCAGAAUUCAGUGAAUCAUCGAAUCUUUGAACGCACAUUGCGCCCCCUGGUAUUCCGGGGGGCAAGCCUGUUCGAGCGUCAUUUCACCACUCAAGCCUCGCUUGGUAUUGGGCAUCGCGGUCCGCCGCGUGCCUCAAAUCGACCGGCUGGGUCAUACGUCCCCUAAGCGUUGUGGAAACUAUUCGCUAAAGGGAUUCGGGAGGCUACGCCGUAAAACAACCCCAUUUCUACGGCUGACCUCGGAUCAG